Molecule: long non-coding RNA, 516 nt
Organism: Choloepus didactylus (southern two-toed sloth)
Lineage: Eukaryota; Metazoa; Chordata; Mammalia; Pilosa; Megalonychidae
Exons: 3
Source: RefSeq, a predicted model, not a curated record
CUGUCAUUCUUCUUUAGUUUAUAAACACCUUAUUAAUUGGCAUUUGCCUUUCAUUUGUUUGUCUGGCAUUUAGGGAGAAGAGCUGCUUUCAAGUUUCCUCCUUCCAGUCUCAGGCCAGGGUGGCUGGAGCAGAGACCACUGAUAUUCCUUACACUUCCCCUAGAAAAAGAAGUAAGAUUCCCGUAGCUGAGAAUUUGAGACGCAAAUUGUGACUUGCUCGCUGGUGUUCUGCUUGUAAGUGUGCUCUGUCCAGCUCUUCCUUCCCCAUGAUUGAGGAGGAAGGACCCGGAAACAGAUGAGGACGGCUCACUUUGUGUUCCAUUACUUCUUUCCAACCAGCUGGACUUGGGAUGAGCAGGAAGGGGUCAUCAUCACCCAGGUUUGUCAGAGAUGAGAGUGGAAUCCAGAGAAUCUGGUCCCUUUUGCUAAGAGAGACCCAGGAGAGAGUGCUAACCAUCCCUGGGCACUGCCUCAUCUUGGAUGAAAGGAGGUUUCAGAUCAUGGCUUUGUGCCUGG